Molecule: unclassified non-coding RNA, 307 nt
Filed under: Hevea brasiliensis (rubber tree)
Lineage: Eukaryota; Viridiplantae; Streptophyta; Magnoliopsida; Malpighiales; Euphorbiaceae
Source: RNAcentral
GAGUAAUUGAACCUUUAUUAUUAAUACACUAAUAUGGAUGUCUUAAAUUGAAAUUGAGCUUUUUGGGUUUGAGCUUUGUUAUUCUGUUUUUGCGCGUGGGAAUCCUAUGGUCCUCUUCCAGGCGAUGGUGAGAAGCUGGCGUCGCUGGUUCAGCUACCUCUUGUUAUUUCUGAUAGCUCUAGGGAUUCUUCGAGGUGUUGGGCCGCUUUAAUGUAGAGUUUGCUUCUUUGGAUCUUCUUUUUGUGGUUUAACUCUGAUCUUUGGGUUUGUUCUGUUGGAUUGGUUAGAAGGCCUGAUCUUUUACUAA